Molecule: ribosomal RNA, 1506 nt
Filed under: metagenome
Description: bacterial SSU rRNA
Rfam family: Bacterial small subunit ribosomal RNA
Source: RNAcentral
AGAGUUUGAUCCUGGCUCAGGACGAACGCUGGCGGCGUGCCUAAUACAUGCAAGUAGAACGCUGAAGAGAGGAGCUUGCUCUUCUUGGAUGAGUUGCGAACGGGUGAGUAACGCGUAGGUAACCUGCCUUGUAGCGGGGGAUAACUAUUGGAAACGAUAGCUAAUACCGCAUAACAAUGGAUGACACAUGUCAUUUAUUUGAAAGGGGCAAUUGCUCCACUACAAGAUGGACCUGCGUUGUAUUAGCUAGUAGGUGAGGUAAUGGCUCACCUAGGCGACGAUACAUAGCCGACCUGAGAGGGUGAUCGGCCACACUGGGACUGAGACACGGCCCAGACUCCUACGGGAGGCAGCAGUAGGGAAUCUUCGGCAAUGGGGGCAACCCUGACCGAGCAACGCCGCGUGAGUGAAGAAGGUUUUCGGAUCGUAAAGCUCUGUUGUAAGUCAAGAACGGGUGUGAGAGUGGAAAGUUCACACUGUGACGGUAGCUUACCAGAAAGGGACGGCUAACUACGUGCCAGCAGCCGCGGUAAUACGUAGGUCCCGAGCGUUGUCCGGAUUUAUUGGGCGUAAAGCGAGCGCAGGCGGUUUGAUAAGUCUGAAGUUAAAGGCUGUGGCUCAACCAUAGUUCGCUUUGGAAACUGUCAAACUUGAGUGCAGAAGGGGAGAGUGGAAUUCCAUGUGUAGCGGCGAAAUGCGUAGAUAUAUGGAGGAACACCGGUGGCGAAAGCGGCUCUCUGGUCUGUAACUGACGCUGAGGCUCGAAAGCGUGGGGAGCGAACAGGAUUAGAUACCCUGGUAGUCCACGCCGUAAACGAUGAGUGCUAGGUGUUGGAUCCUUUCCGGGAUUCAGUGCCGCAGCUAACGCAUUAAGCACUCCGCCUGGGGAGUACGACCGCAAGGUUGAAACUCAAAGGAAUUGACGGGGGCCCGCACAAGCGGUGGAGCAUGUGGUUUAAUUCGAAGCAACGCGAAGAACCUUACCAGGUCUUGACAUCCCGAUGCUAUUUCUAGAGAUAGAAAGUUACUUCGGUACAUCGGUGACAGGUGGUGCAUGGUUGUCGUCAGCUCGUGUCGUGAGAUGUUGGGUUAAGUCCCGCAACGAGCGCAACCCCUAUUGUUAGUUGCCAUCAUUCAGUUGGGCACUCUAGCGAGACUGCCGGUAAUAAACCGGAGGAAGGUGGGGAUGACGUCAAAUCAUCAUGCCCCUUAUGACCUGGGCUACACGCGUGCUACAAUGGUUGGUACAACGAGUUGCGAGUCGGUGACGGCGAGCUAAUCUCUUAAAGCCAAUCUCAGUUCGGAUUGUAGGCUGCAACUCGCCUACAUGAAGUCGGAAUCGCUAGUAAUCGCGGAUCAGCACGCCGCGGUGAAUACGUUCCCGGGCCUUGUACACACCGCCCGUCACACCACGAGAGUUUGUAACACCCGAAGUCGGUGAGGUAACCUUUUGGAGCCAGCCGCCUAAGGUGGGACAGAUGAUUGGGGUGAAGUCGUAACAAGGUA